AGGUGAGAGGAUGGAUUGAGCCUGGGAGGUGGAGGUUGCAGUGAGCUGAGAUUGCACUGCUGCACUCCAGCCUGGGCCAUAGAACCAGACCUUGUCUC
This 98-nucleotide microRNA precursor is filed under the name Chlorocebus sabaeus (green monkey). RNAcentral describes it as "miRNA (ENSCSAG00000022910.1)". Lineage: Eukaryota; Metazoa; Chordata; Mammalia; Primates; Cercopithecidae. The record is from RNAcentral.